Chenopodium quinoa (quinoa) is the source of this 1677-nucleotide long non-coding RNA. RefSeq lists it as uncharacterized. The record is from RefSeq and is a predicted model, not a curated record. NCBI's taxonomy places the organism in Eukaryota, Viridiplantae, Streptophyta, Magnoliopsida, Caryophyllales, Amaranthaceae. The transcript has 9 exons.
CUUCACCUUGUUUUCCCCUGUGUUGUAUUAGUUUCUCUAAGCAGUUAGAUACUUUGUAUAAUAUUAUAUCGGUUUCUGAGAGCUCAUUUAUAAUGUAUUAAGUUGGUUAUAUGAAACAUUCUUUUUCAACUGUUUUGGCAUAUUUAUUUCUGUUAUGCAUAUGUUUUUUCGUUUGAUUGAGUCAUCUUUGUCUGUAUUAUGAUGGCCUUAAAUUAUUCUGGAACUUAAUACCUACUUAUUAUUCUUAUGUUGACUUUCAAAGGCAAUACUGGCAUGGUACUGUGGUUGUGCAAUACUUGUUGCACACAUCGUCUAUAUUUUGUCCAACUUGAUAGUCAUUUUGCUUCUUAACCUGCAGGAUACAAUUGUACCUAGGAUUUGGAGGUGUUCUUUUGAGUGCUGCUUAUUUCGUUUAUACGAGCAUGUCAACAUCAGGUGUUAGAAAAUCGAAUGAAAACUGGGAGAUACUUGGUGCAUCUGCCUUGCCAUUGGUUACCCUUCUGGGCCUAACUUCCGUUUGCCUAUUCACCUGGGCUUUGUGGCCGAUUUGGAGCUUCUUGACCCUACCUCUUGUGGCUAUAGCUCUUUCUUUAAAAGAUGUUGUUGAAACCUCAGACAUAAAUCAUGCUGGAUUACCUCAAAGCCCAAGCAAGCAAACAGCUAAUGCUAAUGAAAAGAGCUACGAUCACUCACGGGAAGAUAAUUUGAGAAGGAGUACAGGAAUUCCAAACUCACACAUCUGCUGCAUGACUCAUUAGGAGGUGAUUUUAAGACAAUAUUGUUUGUACAAAUUUGCCCAUCAGAGCAUGACUUGGGUGAGUCUUUGAGCUCACUGAAGAACUUGCCCCAGCAAAAAGGCAGAUUGAUACAAGUGAGCUUCAACACUCCCAACUGUGCCCUCAACACAAUGCACCAGCUUCAUAAAUCGAGGCAAGGAUCCAAAUCCAAAGAGGAAUUCAUAAGAAAGCUAGAAUCAAAUUAAUGGAUGGACAAUACUGUAGUCCAUCUGAUCCAGCCUAUGACCAAGUACUUGAUCCCCUUGCUAUGGUGGCUCAACAUACACCCAAUACCUCUUCUGGAAGCUCUUCAUGGGUGGAGAGAGAGACUUGUUCUGUUCUUGCAAGAGCUAUGCAAGCUGGGUGAGAAACGCCUCAAGGAAACUGGAGCUAAAUUUAAAGUUGAUUUCUAAGGCUUAUGAUAUCUUGUGGAGAUGACUACUGAAAAAAAUGUGGAUGGUGGGAAUGAAAUUUCCGCUAACUAUGAUGAGCGGCUCACACCAGCUGAGAGACGAUACCUAGAGCAGUGGAAGCAACUUGAAGUAAGACGGCUGCUCAAGACUGUCAAGAGUGCUAAUGAAUCACAUCGCGUUCGUGUUCCAAAGAAAAUAACCUGGCGAAUUUGAGUUUCUAUGUGCUGAUGAGUUUGUUGCAUCCUCAUGAAACUUGUCGUUGAUACUUACCUGUUUUUUUUUCUUAAAAGGUCUGUUUGGUGCAACCAAAAUCAGAAAUUGAUCUCCAGUUUGAAUCGACGAGUAGGAAAUAAAGACUAUUGGAUAUAUUUUCACACAUUACAGUGAUCACAUAUGUUCUUGAACUCAGAUUUGUACGAUUUUGGUCUUAUAUUAUACUCUGUAUUAAUAAUAUAUGAUACUAUGUAUCAUCGUAAGGGUUUUGUUCA